RNAcentral lists this ribosomal RNA (440 nucleotides) under uncultured bacterium. RNAcentral's name for it is "partial 16S ribosomal RNA". It matches the Rfam family "Bacterial small subunit ribosomal RNA", at positions 338 to 795 of the family's 1533-position model. The record is from RNAcentral.
CCUACGUGAGGCAGCAGUGGGGAAUAUUGGACAAUGGGGGGAACCCUGAUCCAGCGACGCCGCGUGAGUGAAGAAGUAUUUCGGUAUGUAAAGCUCUAUUAGCAGGGAGGAAAAUGACGGUACCUGACUCAGACGCCCCGUCUAACUACGUGCCAGCAGCCGCGGUAAUACGUAGGCGGCAAGCGUUAUCCGGAUUUACUGGGUGUAAAGGGAGCGUAGGGGGUUCAGUAAGUCUGAUGUGAAAGGUAGGGGUUCAACACCGGGACUGCAUUGGAAACUGUUGAACUGGAGUAUAGGAGUGGUAAGCGGAAUUUCUGGUGUAGCGGUGAAAUGCGUAGAUAUUAGAAAGAACACCAGUGGCGAAGGCGGCUUACUGGGCUGUAACUGACGUUGAGGCUCGAAAGCGUGGGGAGCAAACAGGAUUAGAUACCCGAGUAGUC